This 212-nucleotide long non-coding RNA is filed under the name Mytilus galloprovincialis (Mediterranean mussel). The record is from RNAcentral. Lineage: Eukaryota; Metazoa; Mollusca; Bivalvia; Mytilida; Mytilidae.
GUUUAUUAACCAACACCAGAGGGUGUGUCAUGAUGUAUGUACAACUUCCUAGGUCAAAGGUCAAGGUCAAAAACUUUGGUUUCAGUUGACAACCCCAUGUCCUGUGGUGAAGAUCGUGUCUGCUCCAUAUCUAGAUAACCGUUAUGAUUUCAAAGUUUAUACUUGACAUCCAUUUUAACCACCACCAGAGGAUGUUAUUGACAGCGGGGCCC